GCAGAGGUACGCUAAUCGGUCAGACGAACAGGCUGUUGACCUGUGAUGUGUCGGUUCGAGUCCGACCCUCUGCUCCA
RNAcentral lists this transfer RNA (77 nucleotides) under Promethearchaeota archaeon. RNAcentral describes it as "Candidatus Lokiarchaeota archaeon (microbial mat metagenome) tRNA-Asn". It matches the Rfam family "tRNA". Rfam says of the family: Transfer RNA (tRNA) molecules are approximately 80 nucleotides in length. Their secondary structure includes four short double-helical elements and three loops (D, anti-codon, and T loops). The record is from RNAcentral. Lineage: Archaea; Promethearchaeati; Promethearchaeota.